This is a long non-coding RNA of Thunnus maccoyii (southern bluefin tuna), 306 nucleotides long. RefSeq lists it as uncharacterized. Lineage: Eukaryota; Metazoa; Chordata; Actinopteri; Scombriformes; Scombridae. The transcript is spliced from 3 exons. The record is from RefSeq and is a predicted model, not a curated record.
GACAGAUUGUGAGCUGAUCCUCUGAAGUUAACCUGCUCCAGAGCGGGUUAGCUGUUCAGCAUAAGUUGCCAUGAUGAUGUACCCCGGUAAGAAGAGAAACACCAUGGUAACCCUGAAAACCAGAGUUAAACCUGAAGUUACCUCACUAACCCCAAUUCCUGCUUCAUAUUACAGGCCUCUGUGGCCCAUCAGUAUUGUGUCUGUCCUUGGACCAGUGGCAGAGCAGGCAUCCUAAUCUCAGGGCCAGCUAAGUGAUAAUAAGGGUGCUUGCAUCACUUUGAUCAGCAUAUUUAACAGAUUCAGGAG